RNAcentral lists this ribosomal RNA (502 nucleotides) under uncultured bacterium. RNAcentral describes it as "partial 16S ribosomal RNA". It matches the Rfam family "Bacterial small subunit ribosomal RNA", at positions 28 to 523 of the family's 1533-position model. The record is from RNAcentral.
GAUGAACGCUAGCGGCAGGCCUAACACAUGCAAGUCGAGGGGCAGCACAGAAACAGCACUGUUUUGGUGGCGACCGGCGGACGGGAGCGUAACGCGUAUGCAACCUACCUUUAACAGGGGGAUAACGGAGGGAAAUUUCCACUAAUACCCCAUAACAUCGAUCAAGGCAUCGUGCUUGGUUGAAAACUCCGGUGGUUAAAGAUGGGCAUGCGUUGUAUUAGGUAGUUGGUGAGGCAAUGGCUCACCAAGCCUACGAUACAUAGGGGGACUGAGAGGUUAGCCCCCCACACUGGUACUGAGACACGGACCAGACUCCUACGGGAGGCAGCAGUGAGGAAUGUUGGUCAAUGGGGGCAACCCUGAACCAGCCAUGCCGCGUGCAGGAAGACGGCUCUAUGAGUUGUAAACUGCUUUUAAACAGGGAUAAAGCACAGUAUGUAUACUGUGUUGAAGGUACUGUAAGAAUAAGGAUCGGCUAACUCCGUGCCAGCCGCCGCAGUAA